RNAcentral lists this non-coding RNA (98 nucleotides) under Octodon degus (degu). The record is from RNAcentral. Lineage: Eukaryota; Metazoa; Chordata; Mammalia; Rodentia; Octodontidae.
UGAAAGGAGAGAGGGUUAGCACUCCCCUUGACCAAGAUGGAAGAAGCGCUCGGGCCUGGCAACACACAUGGUUGACGUAUAGCCAGCCACCUCCUUCA